This 556-nucleotide non-coding RNA is filed under the name Pongo abelii (Sumatran orangutan). The record is from RNAcentral. Lineage: Eukaryota; Metazoa; Chordata; Mammalia; Primates; Hominidae.
CUCUGUGUGCUGCAUGGGGGUUGGAGCACUUGCUGACAAGCCUUGCAACAACCAUUGACAGGAUGUCCUCCACCUUUUCAGUCUGAUUUGCUCUUUGCCAUGCAGACCUGUGGAUGAAAAGCCAGAGUCCUCCAAGGUGAAGCUGGACUGAAUAUUUCUGUCCAUAAGACUAUUAGAAUCCCCCAAAGUGGGAUACCAGUGAGGACUUCACCAGCAGCUGCUGUCUCUCCAAUGCAGGUAGAUGAGCCUCAGAAAUAACCACUGCUUGUGGUUUGCUGUGUAUUCCUCUAGAUGUUUUUCUUUACACAUAUUAGUGAGUGUGGAGAGAGAGAGUGUGUGUGUUUUGUAAAUUUGAUUACACUGUGCAUUUAUUCCAAAAUCCAUUUCACUUUAUCGUUGGAACGUAAGCUCUGUGAAGGCAGAGAUUUUUGUUCAUUGCACUUGCUGUUAUAGCUGUUGUCUGUAACAGUGGCUGGCACAUGGUCACAUCAUAGUAGAAGCUCAAUAAAUAUUUGUUGAAUGAAUGAAAAAAUACGUCCAGGACAUCUUCAGAUUU